Molecule: ribosomal RNA, 256 nt
Filed under: uncultured bacterium
Lineage: Bacteria
Description: partial 16S ribosomal RNA
Rfam family: Bacterial small subunit ribosomal RNA
Source: RNAcentral
UACAGAGGGUGCGAGCGUUGUCCGGAAUCACUGGGCGUAAAGGGCGCGUAGGUGGCGACCCAAGUCGAUGGUGAAAGCUCGCCGCUCAACGGCGAGUCGGCCACCGAUACUGGGUUGCUGGAGCACUGUAGAGGCUCAUGGAAUUCCGGGUGUAGCGGUGGAAUGCGUAGAGAGUCCGGAAGAACGACCGGUGGCGAAGGCGGUGAGCUGGGCAGUUGCUGACACUGAGGCGCGGACAGCGUGGGGAGCAAACAGG